This 2002-nucleotide ribosomal RNA is filed under the name Hetaerina americana (American ruby spot damselfly). RNAcentral's name for it is "eukaryotic LSU rRNA". It matches the Rfam family "Eukaryotic large subunit ribosomal RNA", at positions 195 to 1808 of the family's 3401-position model. The record is from RNAcentral. Lineage: Eukaryota; Metazoa; Arthropoda; Insecta; Odonata; Calopterygidae.
GCCACGGCCCGGAGAGGGUGCCAGGCCCGUGCGACCUCCGCGCUUGCCUCCCGGGAGGGGCGCUCCUCAGAGUCGGGUUGCUUGAGAGUGCAGCCCAAAGUCGGUGGUAAACUCCACCUAAGACUGAAUACGGCCACGAGACCGAUAGCGAACAAGUACCGUGAGGGAAAGUUGAAAAGCACUUUGAAGAGAGAGUUCAAGAGUACGUGAAACCGUUCAGGAGUAAACGGGUGGUACCCGAAAUUUCGAAAGGGGAGAUUCAGGUCUCGCCGGCGACGGGCGAGGGUCGCUUGACGGAUGGCGCGCCGGCGGGCGGGGGGUGACCCCCGUCACAGGCGCGUCACCCGGUGGCCCUCGAAUGUUCGUCGUCGGUGUGACGCACUUCUCCCCGAGUAGGACGUCGCGACCCGUCGGACGCCGGCCCCAAGGGCCCGGGUGGAGUCCCGCCCGCUCUCGAGCGGAAAAGGACCCCGGGAUCCCAGGCCGGAUGUCCGACGGUAGGAAGCGAAAGUCGACGCGCCGCAAGGCGUCCGGCCCUCCGCGAGCACCCUCGGGGGUUAGGGUUCCGGACCCGGUCCGAUCCCUUUCCCACCGUGGGGCUGUCCGCGAACCGUGAGGUGUCCUCGGACGGCGUCGAAAGUUUCGAGUCCGCGACGCUACGGCUUGGAUGGUCCACCCGACCCGUCUUGAAACACGGACCAAGGAGUCUAGCAUGUGCGCAAGUCGUUGGGUCGGACACGCUCCGCUAAACCCAUAGGCGCAAUGAAAGUGAAGGCCGCCGUUCCGGCGGCCGAGGGAGGACGGGGUCGUUCGCUCGCUCCGGCGGGCGUCGGUCCCCGCACCCCCGGGGCGUCUGAUCCCUCAUUGCGAGGGGAGGCGCACCCAGAGCGCACACGUUGGGACCCGAAAGAUGGUGAACUAUGCCUGGCCAGGACGAAGUCAGGGGAAACCCUGAUGGAGGUCCGUAGCGAUUCUGACGUGCAAAUCGAUCGUCGGAGCUGGGUAUAGGGGCGAAAGACUAAUCGAACCAUCUAGUAGCUGGUUCCCUCCGAAGUUUCCCUCAGGAUAGCUUGCGCUCGGAGGAGAGUCUCAUCCGGUAAAGCGAAUGAUUAGAGGCCUUGGGGCCGAAACGGCUUCAACCUAUUCUCAAACUUUAAAUGGGUGAGAACUCCGGCUUGCUCGAUUUAUCGAAGCCGGAGACGGGGUCCCCUCGGGGGCCCCUGGGAUCGGAGUGCAUAGUGGGCCACUUUUGGUAAGCAGAACUGGCGCUGUGGGAUGAACCAAACGACGGGUUAAGGCGCCCGAAUCGACGCUCAUGGGAAACCAUGAAAGGUGUUGGUUGCUUAAGACAGCAGGACGGUGGCCAUGGAAGUCGGAAUCCGCUAAGGAGUGUGUAAUAACUCACCUGCCGAAGCAACUAGCCCUGAAAAUGGAUGGCGCUGAAGCGUCGUGCCUAUACCCGGCCGUCGCCGCAGGGCGGACUCGGCUCCGAGUCGAGUGCCGCUUGACGCGGCGACGAGUAGGAGGGUCGCGGCGGCGUGCGCAGAAGGGUCUGGGCUCGAGCCUGCCUGGAGCCGCCGUCGGUGCAGAUCUUGGUGGUAGUAGCAAAUACUCCAGCGAGGCCCUGGAGGACUGAUGUGGAGAAGGGUUUCGUGUGAACAGCCGUUGCACACGAGUCAGUCGAUCCUAAGCCCUAGGAGAAAUCCGAAGCUAACGGCGAUAGAAAAAAUUUUCAUAAGCAAAAUGAUCCAUCGGUCGGGCGAAAGGGAAUCCGGUUCCUAUUCCGGAACCCGGCAGCGGAACCGUUGUUUGUCGGGCCCUCACAAGGGGUUCGUCAGGGUAACCUAAAAGAGCCCGGAGACGUCGUCGGGAGCCACGGAAAGAGUUUUCUUUUCUGCAUGAGCGUUCGAGUUCCCUGGAAUCCUCUCGCAGGGAGAUAGGGUUUGGAACGCGAAGAGCACCGCAGUUGCGGCGGUGCCCGUGAUUUCCCGACGGACCUUGA